Molecule: microRNA precursor, 102 nt
Filed under: Marmota monax (woodchuck)
Lineage: Eukaryota; Metazoa; Chordata; Mammalia; Rodentia; Sciuridae
Source: RNAcentral
AGUGGAAUAGCUGGGUCAAAAGUGAUUCGAUUCCCAGUUUUCCAAGGAAUCUCUAUACUGCUUUCCAUAUUGGCUGCACCAUUUUGCAGCCCCACCAGCAAU